CAUUUGAAUAAGUUAAAAUAAUCUUAAGGAAAUUUCUAGGCACAAUCCAUCUAUGUUUGGUCUAAACAAACAAAUGGUCAUGAUUACUGAGUCAUGGGCUGCACUUGUAUAGGCUGUAUGACCUUGGGUCAAGAAACGAAAUUUCCAACUCAAGGAAUUCAAAGAAACGUGGCAGUAUUAAGCAUGGAAAUAAGCGCAUGUGCCAAGAAAAGUAGCCAGCGUUCCUCUGCUCUUCCAUAUCAUUUCCUUCAGCUCUCAAUCUUCCUGAAGGGGGCUAGACAAGGCGACUGAGAAAUGACUACCUGUAAGGUGUUUGUGUUCAUGGUGACCCUUUUAGUUGUGGCCAUGCUGCUCUUCUCAUCUGUGGUGACUGCCGCAAAUCCAGGGGAAGCCAUAUCAUCUGUAAUCUUUUCAGGAAGGAGGAUUCUUAGUGCAGGUGAUAACGGAUCGGGCGGUGGAUCAGUGAAGUCUCCAAUAAUACCAAUUCGUCCGUAAUGGCUCCAAAAGUGCCAGUUUGAUGCUGAUAAUGUGUUUCUUGAAAAGUAAAUGAAUUUAUUAAUUGUUAUAUGUACAUAUCAUUAUUAGCAAUGUUUAAAAUCCUCAAAUAGAUCUACCACUUAUAACAGUCCAAGGCGAUAAAAUCUAUAUAUAGUUAACCAACCCUGGUUAUAUGUUUAACGUUUCCCUUUUAUUUUUAAAAUUUAGCAAUUGAGUAUAAAUAAAUAUAACAGUUAUUGAUGGAGGUUUCUGAAGGUGGGGUUCAACUCUCACUUCUUCCUAUUUAUCUUCUUGUUUUGCUCUAACUAUGUUUCCUUUACUGC
Long non-coding RNA from Magnolia sinica, 821 nucleotides. RefSeq lists it as uncharacterized. Lineage: Eukaryota; Viridiplantae; Streptophyta; Magnoliopsida; Magnoliales; Magnoliaceae. The record is from RefSeq and is a predicted model, not a curated record. The transcript has 3 exons.